Molecule: long non-coding RNA, 1429 nt
Organism: Bubalus bubalis (water buffalo)
Lineage: Eukaryota; Metazoa; Chordata; Mammalia; Artiodactyla; Bovidae
Exons: 2
Source: RefSeq, a predicted model, not a curated record
ACUACAUCAGAAGUGAGCUCGUGGGGUUGAUGAAGACACUGUCCAGCCUAUGGAAGGGUAAAAGGCACAACCUUUGCCCCCUCAGAGGAUCCAUCCUCCGCCCUGCCUCCAGUAAACGCUUCCUGGGCCCUAAGGUCCCUCGUCAUUCACAGGUGACACUUCACUGAUGCUUUUGCAAAAAUGCUUCAUCUUUAAGAAGGCUCACAGAAAGGAUUUUCUGGCAAGCACAAGAUUCUGAUAACUUCCAGAUCAUACCGCUGAACUGGGUGAGAAAUUAAUUCUAAUGGAAACCCUGAUGGUUUCAUCAAACUGUUAAUAAGAUCAAGGAUUAGUUACAUGGGCCUGAGUUAACUGAUGAAUAUAGUUAUAACCGUUUUUAGUCUGUAUCUUCUAGACAUAAGGAAAUCUUUAAAAAAAAUUAAAUUUGAUAUUCCUUAGGAAAAAUUCUGGCACAGUAGAUUUAAGAGAGACUAUACGAUCAAUUACACUUAGGUAAAUAAUCAGGCCAAGUUUAUCCAAAAGACUUAAUUUGGCAGUGUCAGUCGCUCACUCGUUUUCGACUCUUUGCAAUCCCAUGGACCGAAGUGUCCAUGGAAUUCUCCAGGCGAGAAUACUGGAGUGGGUUGCCAUUUCCCUCUCCAGACGAUCUUCCUGACCCAGGGACUGAACCCAGGUGUUCUACGUUGCAAGCAGAUUCUUUACCGCCUGAGCCACAAAGGGUAAUUUAGAGAGAUUAUGUUUUGAUGACAUACCUUUGUGGAGACUGAGGUUUUGUAUAUGCUGAGGUUGCUGUAUUAGAUGACCUUGUUGUUAUGUUAUAUUAUAAAGCCUAAGUUUUAAAGGAAUAUUCCAAGCUUGUUUCUGAAGCUGAUCACAGUAAUCUGUCUUUGGAUGAAGAUCAGAUGCCCUGUGAUCCACAACCAGGAGAUUAUACAUACUGGAAAAGACAUCAUUUAUUCAGACUCUCUCCAACCUAAAUGAAAGAUCUGUCAGGUAUCUAGUAGCUCGUGCACAGUGGAAACGGAAAGAAACUGACUCUUGAAUGAACUACUUCCCACUUAAGGGCUUCUGCACUGGACUGGUCUAUAGAAAGGACUGCUGACCUCCAAAAGCGCUGACCCCAGGAUGAGAAAGAGAACCCAGUGUAGACAGCUGAGCCAGGAAUCUGAGCCGGGUCUGUACGAUCCACCGUAAUUCAACUGAACUGUUCACCAACUGUCUCCCUCUCAAAACAGAAAGUUUUACUUCCAAUCAUACUUCUGACUCCAAUGUUCAAGACAGAAAAUUCUGUCAAGUUGAGUACUCAUGACAUUUAUCACCACUUGCUUUUAACUCUACUCUAAAAGCCUAAGUACGAUGUUUGUGUGACAAUUUGGUAUAAAUGAUAAUGUAUAGCCUAUAAAAUUAGCACACCUGUGAGCUGGUUCAC